CUGGGCGUAAAGGGUCUGUAGGUGGUUUGUUAAGUCAGAUGUGAAAGCCCAGGGCUCAACCUUGGAACUGCAUUUGAUACUGGCAAACUAGAGUAUGGUAGAGGAAUGGGGAAUUUCUGGUGUAGCGGUGAAAUGCGUAGAGAUCAGAAGGAACACCAAUGGCGAAGGCAACAUUCUGGACCAAUACUGACACUGAGGGACGAAAGCGUGGGGAUCAAACAGGAUUAGAUACCCUGGUAGUCCACGCUGUAAACGAUGAGUACUAGCUGUUGGAUUCGGUGUAAAGGAUCUAGUGGCGUAGCUAACGCGUUAAGUACUCCGCCUGGGGACUACGGCCGCAAGGCUAAAACUCAAAGGAAUUGACGGGGACCCGCACAAGCGGUGGAGCAUGUGGUUUAAUUCGAUGCAACGCGAAGAACCUUACCUGGUCUUGACAUCCUGCGAACUUUCUAGAGAUAGAUUGGUGCCUUCGGGAACGCAGUGACAGGUGCUGCACGGCUGUCGUCAGCUCGUGUUGUGAAAUGUUGGGUUAAGUCCCGCAACGAGCGCAACCCCUAUUGAUAGUUACCAUCAUUAAGUUGGGUACUCUAUUGAGACUGCCGCUGACAAGGCGGAGGAAGGUGGGGACGACGUCAAGUCAUCAUGGCCCUUACGACCAGGGCUACACACGUGCUACAAUGGGUAUUACAGAGGGCAGCGAAGUAGCGAUAUGGAGCGAAACUCAGAAAGGUACUCUUAGUCCGGAUUGCAGUCUGCAACUCGACUGCAUGAAGUCGGAAUCGCUAGUAAUCGCAGGUCAGAAUACUGCGGUGAAUACGUUCCCGGGUCUUGUACACACCGCCUGUCACACCAUGGGAGUGGGUUGCUCCAGAAGUAGAUAGCUUAACGAAUGGGCGUU
Molecule: ribosomal RNA, 898 nt
Filed under: uncultured bacterium
Lineage: Bacteria
Description: bacterial SSU rRNA
Rfam family: Bacterial small subunit ribosomal RNA
Source: RNAcentral